AAACAUGGCUCUUUGAUAUUUUUUAAUAAAGAGUCGAGCCUGCCCAGUGAAUUUUUUUUUAACGGCCGCAGUACCCUGACUGUGCAAAGGUAGCAUAAUCAUUUGCCCUAUAAUUGAGGGCUGGAAUGAAUGGUUUAACAAGAACAUAGCUGUCUCCUAUAAAAUAAAUAUAAAUUAAUUUUUAGGUGAAGACUCCUAAAUUUUACUAAAAGACGAGAAGACCCUUUUGAGCUUUAAAAAUAAUUAUAGAAAUUCUAUUUUUAUUUUUUGGUUGGGGCGACCUAGGAACAAAAAUCUUCCUUUUUAUUAUUAACACUAGUUAUGAUCCAUUAUAAUUGAUUUACUAAUAAGCUACCAUAGGGAUAACAGCGUAAUUUUCUUUAAAAGUUCUUAUUAAAAAGAAAGUUUGCGACCUCGAUGUUGGACUAAAGUUUCCCAAAGGUGCAAAAGCCUUUAAAGGUAAGUCUGUUCGACUAUUAAAACUUUACAUGAUCUGA
Molecule: ribosomal RNA, 497 nt
Filed under: Haurakia hamiltoni
Lineage: Eukaryota; Metazoa; Mollusca; Gastropoda; Littorinimorpha; Rissoidae
Description: Pusillina hamiltoni partial 16S ribosomal RNA
Rfam family: Bacterial large subunit ribosomal RNA
Source: RNAcentral